GUCGAACGGUAACAGGAAGCAGCUUGCUGCUUUGCUGACGUGUGGCGGACGGGUGAGUAAUGUCUGGGAAACUGCCUGAUGGAGGGGGAUAACUACUGGAAACGGUAGCUAAUACCGCAUAACGUCGCAAGACCAAAGAGGGGGACCUUCGGGCCUCUUGCCAUCGGAUGUGCCCAGAUGGGAUUAGCUAGUAGGUGGGGUAAAGGCUCACCUAGGCGACGAUCCCUAGCUGGUCUGAGAGGAUGACCAGCCACACUGGAACUGAGACACGGUCCAGACUCCUACGGGAGGCAGCAGUGGGGAAUAUUGCACAAUGGGCGCAAGCCUGAUGCAGCCAUGCCGCGUGUAUGAAGAAGGCCUUCGGGUUGUAAAGUACUUUCAGCGGGGAGGAAGGGAGUAAAGUUAAUACCUUUGCUCAUUGACGUUACCCGCAGAAGAAGCACCGGCUAACUCCGUGCCAGCAGCCGCGGUAAUACGGAGGGUGCAAGCGUUAAUCGGAAUUACUGGGCGUAAAGCGCACGCAGGCGGUUUGUUAAGUCAGAUGUGAAAUCCCCGGGCUCAACCUGGGAGCUGCAUCUGAUACUGGCAAGCUUGAGUCUCGUAGAGGGGGGUAGAAUUCCAGGUGUAGCGGUGAAAUGCGUAGAGAUCUGGAGGAAUACCGGUGGCGAAGGCGGCCCCCUGGACGAAGACUGACGCUCAG
Molecule: ribosomal RNA, 700 nt
Filed under: uncultured Escherichia sp.
Lineage: Bacteria; Pseudomonadati; Pseudomonadota; Gammaproteobacteria; Enterobacterales; Enterobacteriaceae
Description: bacterial SSU rRNA
Rfam family: Bacterial small subunit ribosomal RNA
Source: RNAcentral